Long non-coding RNA from Saccostrea cuccullata (small rock oyster), 1782 nucleotides. RefSeq lists it as uncharacterized. The record is from RefSeq and is a predicted model, not a curated record. NCBI's taxonomy places the organism in Eukaryota, Metazoa, Mollusca, Bivalvia, Ostreida, Ostreidae. The transcript has 4 exons.
GAGAGAGCACUCGCGCUCACCGACUUGUGGGGAACUCACACCUGACAAAGGACCUUUCUUAUGGGGAAAGUUCAGAAUUGUGGGGAACUCUCUCGUUCCCCACAAAUAUGGUCAUGGGGUUUUUUGAAUUCUACGUGUUCUACUGAUAAUAUUUAUUCGAUUUGUGGUCAUUUUUGAAAAAAUCCCCAUAAGUCCGUAAAAUUGACUCGCAGUAAUUUUCUCACUGCACCGUAAAACGAAUGUUUGAGGAUGCUGGGAAAUGUUCAUUCGGAACGCAGCGGAAUUUAAACUGGUCCCCAUAUGAUACCAAUUUAUUGCGGGCAAUGGCUGCUCCGAGAAUAUGUGGUAAGUUUUCGGGUUUUCACCACAAGAGCAAAUUAUACAACUUUAUUCUUGAAAAUGUUAGAGACUGAGACUUGGAGUCAAAGUCAACAGACACGCUUGCAUGGACAUGAAGGAUGUAAAGAACUAGAGUAUUAUAACUGAAAGCAUUUUGUCUGGAUUUGUGUAUGGAAACAGAAGGAUUUAGUAUUGGUAUCCUGAAUUUUUGUCAACUUCUAGCCAAGAUCCUGUACUUAAGCUGAAUGUGGAGGACAGAUGUACACACAGUACUAGUAUAGAGGGUAUUAUCUCGGUACCUUAAAACUCCAAACGACAGGGAGAAGAAGAAAACUGCAUAUUUCCGAUGUAUCUUCACAGCAACAUGACCCAAAGCACUACCAUUAAAGGAUUUGAUUUGACAUUAAGGAAGUAAAAAAAUGAAGGCAUUAGUCAUAAAGAAAAUUAAAGAACUUUAUGUCUGAAUAUUAUAUCAACAAUACCAUAGAUCUAAAGAUGGAUUAUUUUGCCUUAUAAUUUAUAUUAAUGCAUGUACAUGUAAUUUUAUUCUUUUUAUAUAUACAAUCAUGUAGUGUUACCAUUUUUCACAAAGCUUAAAAAGUUAUGUAGGGCCACACCAAUUUAAUUUCUUGUUCGUCGGACAUUUGAUUUAAAAAAAGUACAAGCAGUUAAAUGAUAAUAUUAUUACUCUUUGCUGGGCAAUUUUUUAGGCGGAGCGUGAAAAUUUGAGCGGACAAUUAUAUUUUUUCUGAUUUACAGAGUAAGCAGAUAUAAAAUACAAUAAAUAGAGCGGAAAUGGAACAGAAAAUAGCACAGAAUUCCUAUGGUGCGAGAAAUUGAAAUUAAUAUUAUUUGUAUGGUUUUGUUUAAAUAAGCGCGUGGGUCCGACGAACAAAAAUUUUCAUUAGUGUGGCCUAGAUCAUUUAGAUUCAAUUCAUUUUUUUCUUCAAAUUACCACAUGCCAGAAUUCAUAAGAAGGAAAUUUAUAUAUGGCUGGUGGUUGUGGCCAUUUUUAGACUAUAUUGAUCUCCUUUAGAAGGAGAGCUCCUUAUAAAAUUAUACAAAAAAUGACCAAAUUUUAAAACUAAAAUGUACAGAAUUUUUCUUUGCCAAAUGAUAGUUCAUAGAACCACAAUUCUUCAAUCAUGUCUACUUGGAGAUCAGUGGAUGGAUAUUCAUAUACAAUACACAGCUGAAGCAGGUUUUGUUAGGUUAUUUUAUUUUCAAAAGGAAUGCAUUAUUUUCUUCAGUCCAUUAAUGUUAAGCUCUUUAAUAGAAACAAUUGUAGAAGAUUUAUCAUAUUUUGUUUAGAAUUUUGAAGAAUUUGUUAAUCACUCAGUGAAAAUUAUCCCUUGUCAUAAUACAAAUUUUUAAAAUGUAUGUACAAAUACUUUUAUGUUGAAAUGACCAUGCAAGGAAGAAAAUAAAACAAGUUUAAGUGUA